GUGAGGAAUAUUGCGCAAUGGGGGAAACCCUGACGCAGCAACGCCGCGUGGGUGAAGAAGGCUUUCGGGUUGUAAAGCCCUGUCAGGUGGGAAGAACCUUCUGCAGGUGAAUAGUCUGCGGAACUGACGGUACCACCAAAGGAAGCACCGGCUAACUCCGUGCCAGCAGCCGCGGUAAGACGGAGGGUGCAAGCGUUGUUCGGAAUCACUGGGCGUAAAGCGCGUGUAGGCGGUCCGAUAAGUCGAAUGUGAAAGCCCGGGGCUCAACCUCGGAAGUGCAUUCGAAACUGUCGGGCUUGAGUACGGGAGAGGGAAGUGGAAUUCCUGGUGUAGAGGUGAAAUUCGUAGAUAUCAGGAGGAACACCGGUGGCGAAGGCGGCUUCCUGGACCGAUACUGACGCUGAGACGCGAAAGCGUGGGGAGCAAACAGGAUUAGAAACCCCGGUAGUCC
RNAcentral lists this ribosomal RNA (451 nucleotides) under uncultured bacterium. RNAcentral's name for it is "bacterial SSU rRNA". It matches the Rfam family "Bacterial small subunit ribosomal RNA", at positions 354 to 796 of the family's 1533-position model. The record is from RNAcentral.